CCUACGGGUGGCAGCAGUGAGGAAUAUUGGUCAAUGGCCGGAAGGCUGAACCAGCCAUGCCGCGUGAAGGUCAGUGCCCUAUGGGCGUUAAACUUCUUUUGUGCGGGAGCAAUAAUGGUCACGUGUGGCCAGACGAGAGUACCGUACGAAUAAGCAUCGGCUAACUACGUGACAGCAGCCGCGGUAAUACGGGGGGUGCAAGCGUUAUCCGGAUUUAUUGGGGUUAAAGGGUGAGUAGGCUGUGAGGUAAGUCAGCGGUGAAAUGCCCCCGCUCAACGGGGUGAAGUGCCAUUGAUACUGCCUUGCUGGAAUGCGGAUGACGUGGGAGGAAUGUGUGGUGUAGCGGUGAAAUGCAUAGAUAUCACACAGAACACCGAUUGCGAAGGCAUCUCACGAAUCCGCGAUUGACGCUGAUGCACGAAAGCGUGGGUAUCAAACAGGAUUAGAUACCCUGGUAGUC
This 460-nucleotide ribosomal RNA is filed under the name uncultured bacterium. Its description in RNAcentral is "partial 16S ribosomal RNA". It matches the Rfam family "Bacterial small subunit ribosomal RNA", at positions 338 to 795 of the family's 1533-position model. The record is from RNAcentral.